AACUCUAUAUAAAAUCUAGUCUAUAAUAAAUUUGUCCUUGCAAGACAAGAGAGAGAGGGAGAGAGAGAAAUAUGGCUAGAAAUAGUAUCGCAUAUGCACUAAUAUUACUCAUAAUUGGAGUAGUAGUUAUUUGUUUUGCGGUUGAUAAUGUGUUCCAUGAUACUAUUCCUGAAUUCCGUGAGCCUUCGUCUUAUUAUGUUGCAAAUGAAGCUUUGGCUUUAUGUAUAAAACAAUGCAAGAAAAAAUUCCCGUCAAGAUCAAAAGUGUACCAGGAAUGCAUGGCCAAAUGCCUUGAGCAGUUCUCUUCUAAGUCCAACACCUAAGUGAUGGUUUGGUAGAGUUGGGAUUUUAAUAAAUCUUCAAAUGAAAAGAAGAGGAGUUAAGCAUCAGAUUAUAUGGAAGUGAUUAGUGUUGCUGAUAUUGGAUAUUUCAAUACUUUUCUUUUCCAUCUUUAUUUUCUUAUUGUGUGUACUUCAAAUAUAUAUGAUGGGGUUUCAGGUGUCCCGUUGUUUUUCCCGUAAGGCAAUGGCCUGGUAACUACUUUUGUUAUAAUAAAAUGUUUUAAAAUUAUAUGAAA
Molecule: non-coding RNA, 577 nt
Organism: Arachis ipaensis
Lineage: Eukaryota; Viridiplantae; Streptophyta; Magnoliopsida; Fabales; Fabaceae
Source: RefSeq, a predicted model, not a curated record